Molecule: ribosomal RNA, 254 nt
Filed under: uncultured bacterium
Lineage: Bacteria
Description: partial 16S ribosomal RNA
Rfam family: Bacterial small subunit ribosomal RNA
Source: RNAcentral
UACGUAGGGUCCGAGCGUUGUCCGGAAUUAUUGGGCGUAAAGAGCUCGUAGGCGGUCUGUUGCGUCGGCUGUGAAAACCCGGGGCUCAACCCCGGGCCUGCAUUCGAUACGGGCAUCACUGGAGUUCGGCAGGGGAGACUGGAAUUCCUGGUGUAGCGGUGAAAUGCGCAGAUAUCAGGAGGAACACCGGUGGCGAAGGCGGGUCUCUGGGCCGAUACUGACGCUGAGGAGCGAAAGCGUGGGGAGCGAACAGG